This is an RNA transcript of Chionomys nivalis (European snow vole), 5535 nucleotides long. It is a transcript of the gene named apical junction component 1 homolog, with no coding region annotated. Lineage: Eukaryota; Metazoa; Chordata; Mammalia; Rodentia; Cricetidae. The record is from RefSeq and is a predicted model, not a curated record. The transcript has 3 exons.
GAUCGCAUGAAGACCUUUCCCCCAAAGGAAGCAGGCAGUGGCAGCCCAGGCUAUCCUGGACACAGAAUGUUGCAGCUACACGUCAGGCUGAGCAAGCCAUAUGGCUCCCAGGUACCUGCCGAGAUUUUGGCGUCUUCAGAGCCAAGGAGGAUAAUUCCUGGUGAGAGGCCAAUAGGGCUCAUCUGCUCCCACCUGGGUCCAACCACAGACGUGCAUUCUGGAAUCUCCCCAAACCCAGAUUCUCUGCUGCCAAGCCGAGAUUUCGGGCUCCUUGCAGGCCCCUGCCUGGAGUCUUGCUGGCAAGCUUUUCUUGGUGCAAGGAACCCGUGUUCAGACCCAAAGACUUGUGCUUUGAGGGUGCUGCCAUUUGUGACCCUUUACUCUACAUAGCCCAAAUGAUAGCUAGGGCGAUCACUCGUAUCUGGACCCCACUAGACAUCCCCCUUCCAGCACGGCCCCUUUAAGUACCACCCUACUGAUUACCACUGGGGGCAGCACUGAGCAGCCAGGCCAGGAUCAGAGCUGCUGCCUCCAAGCUUCUGCCGGUACCGGCUACAUAGCCGGGUCAGGUACACACCGGAACCGAUUUGGGUUAUGCAGCCUACCUGGGCUCAGCUCAUGGAGAAAUAACCAGGCUGAAUGGCCUGUGAGGUUUCUCCUGCAGGUACUUCUAAUAUAGGUAUGGAGCCAGCACCAGAAGCCCUGACCAAGACCUGCAGCCAGGGCUGCUCCAUCCCCUAUGCCCCAGGUAAGCCGGCCCAGCACGUGGGGUGGGUGGGGGUAAAGGGUCUGGGGUGCAAAGGUGGCUGCCCUGACCGGUAUCUCCUCCCAGGGCAAAAUCCCCGGAAGGCCGAGUGACUGGAACCGCUAGCCUGGGGACGUCUUUUAAGAUGACCCGCACGGACCCGCCGGACUUGCUGGUGUCGACCGUGUACCAGGACAUCAAGGUGGUGGCCCCAGGGCUCACAUCCAAAAGCCAACCAUGUGAGCGAUCCGUGCCCCGGCCAGCUGCGCCCGCGCCUUUCAACAAGCGCCACUGCCGUAGUUUCGAUUUCUUAGAGGCACUGGACGAGCCCACCAUGGAGACACACCCAGAGCCGCCACCUCCCGAGCCCGCGCCACCGCGCGCCCGGCGAGACAGCGAGCCUCGGCGCCGCACCCGUUCCAAGAGCGCGCCCCGUGGGCCCCAUGGCCUGGCGCCUGCUCCAGCUUCGCCGCCAGUACUGCAGCGCAGAGGCCGGGAGGCCCAGCGUUCGGUGCGGUUGGAGGGGUCGCCGCACAAGGAGCCCUCGUACCCUGCGCUACGGGCUCUCGCCAAUGAGCUGCACCCCAUCAAGCUCCAGCCACAGCGUGGUGGCCCCGGACGCAUCGCACCUCUGUGCGCCACUCCAGGCCGCUGUGCACCACCCGAACCACCCACAGGACCCGUCCCCCAUGUCCGCUGCCGUUUGGACAUCAAGCCUGACGAGGCAGUGCUGCAGCACGCCGCCCGAAGCUCGCGAUCUUGCGCUCCCAGCGAGGCGGCGCCCUGGGCUCGCACCGUCCCACAGUUCCAUGGCCUCACAAUUCCAGGCCCCCGCCAUGUGGCCCUGUCACGCACUCCCACCCCUAGUGACUUGUACUGUCCUGAUCCCAGAGCAGUGUACUGCGACGGGCCGUUGCCUGGGUCCCGGGACUAUUUGGAGCACCGCAGCCAACCCUUUGCAACGCCCCCAGGUCCCACCCAAUUUUUCUACACGGAGGAACCUGAGGGCUACACAGGCAGUUUUACCACAAGCCCAGGCCUUCCCUUUGAUGGCUACUGCUCCAGGCCCUACUUGACCGAAGAAACCCCCAGACCCAGUUCAAGGCGUGGGGGUGGCUACUAUGCUGGGGAAGUACGCACCUUCCCGAUCCAGGAGCCCCCCUCCCGUUCCUACUACGGGGAGGCUCCUCGAGCCUACGGAAUGCCUUUCGUCCCCCGGUAUGUCCCAGAAGAGUCCCGGGCACACCCUAGUGCCCGCACCUUCUACACAGAGGACUAUGGAAGGUUCCGUGAACGCGACGUAAUGACUCGCACUUACCCGCAUCCCCGCAGCAAUCCCGCCUGGGCUGAUUGGGGUCCGAGGCCUUACCGCACCCUUCAGGUGGUGCCUCCUCCCGCCCCUGGACCACUGUUGGCCUCGUGGCACGGUGGCACUGGCACAAGCCCGCCCCGGCUGGUGACCGAUAGCCGCCACUACUCUCGAUCCUGGGACAACAUCCUGGCUCCUGGUCCUCGUCGUGAAGACCCUCUAGGACGCGGCCGCAGCUAUGAGAACCUGCUGGGACGCGAGGUUCGGGAUACACGGGGUUCAUCCCCGGAAGGCCGGCGUCCACCAGUCGUAGUGAACCUAUCCACCUCACCCAGACGCUAUGCAGCACUGUCGCUGUCCGAGACGUCACUUACAGAAAAGGGCCGUGGUGGGGAAAGCCUGGGCCGCAACUGGUACAUCACGCCGGAGAUCACCAUCACAGACAAUGACCUGCGCUCAGUAGAACGCCCGACCGCCAGGGGCUGGGAACUGCCUGGAGGCCGACAGCGGCAGCCUGCACCCAAAGUCCCUGAGGGCCCUGCUGCCAGCCGCCAGCGCAGCCUCGAGCAGCUAGACGAGCUCAUCACCGACCUGGUCAUCGACUCACGGCCACCAGGCCAGGCCCCAGAGCCUGCCACCGAAGGUUUAGGCCGCCAACUGCGCCGCCUGCUGGACUCACGGUCUGCGGGCCCCGGAGGUGCAACCGCGCUGGCUCCGUCGCGCUCACCCCCGGCCUCGGCUGGCAGCACCGAGGAGCCCACCGGUUCAGGGGAGGCAGCCGAUGCCUCCCCGGAGCCCAGCGCAGACGAGGAUGACUUGAUGACCUGCUCCAACGCACGCUGUCGGCGGACAGAGACCAUGUUCAACGCCUGCCUCUACUUCAAGUCAUGCCACAGCUGCUAUACCUACUACUGCUCGCGGCUGUGCCGCCGAGAGGACUGGGAUGCGCACAAAGCGCGUUGCGUGUAUGGCCGCGUGGGCAGCGUGUGCCGCCACGUGCUGCAGUUCUGCCGCGACAGCAGCCCAGUGCAUCGCGCCUUCUCCCGGAUAGCGCGUGUCGGAUUCCUGUCGCGCGGUCGUGGCGUGCUGUUCUUGGGCUUCCCAAGCCCGGGCUCUGCCGACAACUUCCUGCGCUUCGGCCUCGAAGGGCUACUGCUAUCGCCCACCUACCUAUCACUGCGUGAGCUGGCUACACAUGCAGCGCCCCUGGGUAGCUAUGCACGAGAGUUGGCGGCGGCCGGGAGGCUCUAUGAGCCCGCGGAGUGCUUCCUGCUUAGUGUGUCGGUGGCCGUGGGCCCUGGAGCUGCACCCCCCGGAGCCGCUGCCCGUCCAGCGCCACGCAGCCCUGGCCCUACGGUGCGCAAGUUUGCCAAGGUGGCUCUGGCCGCCGGCAGCCCGACGCGGCCUCCUCCUGCGCGUGGUGGAGAGCCAGACAUGGAAACACUGAUCCUAACGCCACCUCCAGGCACUGCGGGCCUGGACCAGGAGGGUGAGGCUGGCCGGCGCGCACGUGAAGUGGCCUUCAUCCACAUCCAGCGUGAACUGCGACUGCGCGGCGUCUUCCUUCGCCAUGAGUUCCCACGCGUCUAUGAGCAGCUCUGCGAGUUCGUCGAGGCUAACCGGCGCUUCACACCCACCACCAUCUAUCCCAUCGAUAGGCGCACUGGCCGCCCCUUCAUGUGCAUGAUCAUGGCUGCUUCCGAGCCGCGUGCACUCGACUGGGUAGCCAGCGCCAAUCUGCUAGAUGACAUCAUGUGAGCUUUGGGACUAUUAGGCCCAGGCUCUGACCAGAGCCCUGCCUACUCAGGCCCAGCCUGAUCCAUCAAGACUGGCCCCAGAAUCUGGACCAGCUGGUUCAGUGCCCUGCUAAGUCUCCCGGAGCCUUCCUUAGUCUUCUACAAAUUCUCUGCCCUGAGCUCCACCCACUCCAAACAUCUAACUUUGCCUAGGAGCCCACCCCCGCCACACACACACACACACACACACACACACACACCCUCCCUGUUCCCCAUCAGCUGCUUCUCUUCCUUCCUGUUUUCAACCAGACCACCCAGAUCCUACCUACACCCUGGGCUCUCAAGUCAGCCAGGGGGAGGGGGCUCCCUAAGAGCCCGGUCCUCGCCCUCGGUGCUCCCCGCUGGGAGGUGGGGUGGGCCUGAGGACCGCUGGGCUCUGCCUUCUAGUGGAAGGUUACUACUACACACAUCCCAUGGGGACAAACUUGAUAUACUUCGUGGGUGCUUGCUAUAGCUCGCCAACCCUGGAUCUAUUCCCUUUCCUCCUAGUCCAGCAGUUCAUGUUGACCAAAGCCUAAAGUCCUUACUGCAAGCACUCCCCUAACCCUCCUCCUGUGUCUGGGAUGUGUCAGGUUUCAGAGGCCUGGUUCCUGUGCAUCCCUAGGAUGUUGAGGCAAUGGGCAGGGCGGAUGCUACACCCUAACAGUACUGCCUGUCCUGAGGUUCUCUCACCUCUGGUCACCUUGGUCUGGGCCCUUGCAGGACCAGUUAGAAUAGUGAGGGGUCUUUAGGCCAAGGCUCAAGCCAUCCAGCCAGAGGGGAACCUGGGAAGGGGAAGCAGAAUGCGGAUGGUGUGCUGGCCGGAAUUAAAAUCUGGCUGGGUGAGGGUUUGAGCUCAUCCACACCCACUCAACAAGAUGGCCCUAAAACAAUCCACCUUCCAGAGAAGAUGGAAGCUCAGACCUUAAUCUCCCAGGGAGGUGGGAAGUGUGUGCUGAUGAAUUAGCAGGGGACCCUACAUAGAGCAACACACUUACCUGCCGACUGAUUUGGGAAUAAGGAACAGGGGCUGUCCCUAAUUAGGGACUGGUUGGGGUGCAGAGUAGUGAGCCACCCGGUGUGGGAGCUGAUAGGGAGCCGGUGCUGAGGCUUAACAUGAGUCCAACCUAUGCACAAAAGUGCCGCAUACUCGCCCUGGCUGAACUCCAAGCUGAGAAUAGAAGCCAAAGCCUGAUGUGUAAUGGAGACUAAGCCUAGGCAGUCCUGGGUCCCUUGUCGGACCUCUGCAGCCUAACUGUACCCGGAUUUGAGCCCAGGGCUCCGUGGAGGGUGUGACCCAGAGAGGCUUGAGACCAGAAGCUGGACAAGUACUCUCUAGAACCCCGAAGCCCCUUCGUAGGUAAGGGAGGUCCAACGCGAGAGCCUGGGACAACUCCCUGUGCGCGCAGUGUGCGCAUGCGUCACUACCCCCCACCCCGUACCCUGCUCUGUGUCCCCGGAAUAGCCCAGAGCUCCCACCUUCGCCUGUGUCUUAGCACCUGCCCCAUGCCGCCCUUGCAACACUUGCUGCCGCACCGCCUGCCGCCCUCCCCAGGGGCUCCACAUUCCUUCCUGCGGCGGGCUGAUCGCAGCUCCUUUAACAGCGACUCAAGAUCGCAAAGCUGCAAAGAACUGGGUUGCAAUUGGCUAGUCCGUGCCUCAGAACAGAAGUACAACUGGCUGAGGCUCUGGACCUCGGGAAACAU